UCAAAUUUUAAUGUGUGUAAAGAGUGCAACUGCAGAUAUUGGAUCGACUAAUGGAUCGGAGGAAAACGAAGAGAAAGUAGCUAUGGUACAAAGCAAAAAAUACAGAGGUACGUGUCUGCAUGUAAAGUGUAGGGGUGCUUGCGGCGCGGAAGGGUAUAAAGACGGAGCUUGCUUAGUUACCGUUGCGAACAAACCUGCAGUGUGUAUGUGCGCUAAUUUGCCGUGGGCCGGUGGCGGGAAAGUAUUGCAAACAUUCUAGUUACAUAACUUUCUUUUUGUUUAAUUGUUGUUAAGAAAUCAAUCCUUUUGUUUGUAUCAUAAUUGAUGGUGAUGCCCAUCAUAUAUAUAUACAUACAUACAAUGGCAAUAAUUAUAUAAUAAUAGCAAAAGAAUAAUACAAUUAAAG
RNAcentral lists this long non-coding RNA (406 nucleotides) under Erythranthe guttata (spotted monkey flower). RNAcentral's name for it is "long non-coding RNA (EGUT_LNC000075)". Lineage: Eukaryota; Viridiplantae; Streptophyta; Magnoliopsida; Lamiales; Phrymaceae. The record is from RNAcentral.